This 25745-nucleotide long non-coding RNA is filed under the name Malus domestica (apple). RNAcentral's name for it is "long non-coding RNA (MDOM_LNC010076)". Lineage: Eukaryota; Viridiplantae; Streptophyta; Magnoliopsida; Rosales; Rosaceae. The record is from RNAcentral.
CUCUAGAUUUGAUGGACUUGUUUUGACCCUCAAAUUCUUCAGUCGGCCUUAUACUCUGGAGGAAACCAGAAAACCCUCCAGCUGAGUUCAAGAAUAAGCCUGUGGAAAGUUACUUCUUCAAAAGCAAAAGUAUCUCAUAUCAUCUCUUCUCAUUUUUCUUCUCUUUAUCCUUCAUGCUGCUGCAAGAUGGGGAGAAGGUGAACAAUCAGUCGGAGCUCUGAUUGCUUACCUUGUCUGUCACCUCUUUCAGCAGACCCCUAGCUCGGCCCCCUAGCUUCGGCGACUUGGGGGACUCCUACUACAUGGUUUGUAUCGCACUUGACCAAGCCUGAAACUACAAGUAAGCUUCAAGUGAAAUUGAUACAUUACCUUGUGCAUCUCCACCAGUUAAAGAUACCACCCCUGGAUGGAGGAAGAGUACUUCCAGAGAAGAUGCCACAUCUACCUAUGAGACAGAUAAGGCAAGUCAAGACGACACCACACUCCGAUACUUAGAAGUUUCGUGAUUACGAGAUCAUUCUCCCACAAUAUUUCCUAAUGUCAUUUGUACUAAAUCAUUCACUCGUACUCACUAAAGGAGAGCUUGAACCUAUGUACUUGUGUAAACCCUUCACAAUUAAUGAGAACUCUUCUAUUCCGUGGACGUAGCCAAUCUGGGUGAACCACGUACAUCUUGUGUUUGCUUUCCUAUCUCUAUCCAUUUAUAUACUUAUCCACACUAAUGACCGGGAGCAAUCUAGCGAAGAUCACAAAAAGCGACCGUUUUCGUUACCUAGGAUCUAUCUUGCAAGAGAACGGAGAAUUAGAUGGAGAUCUCAACCAUAGAAUACGAGCUGGAUGGAAAGAGUGCAUCCGGCGUGUUGUGUGACCGUCGUAGGCCACUGAAGCUCAAGGAAAAAUUUUAUAGGACGGCAAUAAGGCCAGCGAUGUUGUAUGGCAGAGAAUGUUGGGUGGUGAAGCAUCAACACAUACACACAAAAUGGGUGUAGCGGAGAUGAGGAUGCUUCGUGGGAUGUGUGGGCACACGAGAAAGGAUAAGAUUGGGAAUGAGGAUAUCCGAGGUAAAGUAGGAGUAGCCGAAAUUGUAGGAAAGAUGAGAGAAAAUCGGCUCUGGUGAUUUGGACAUGUGCAAAGAAGGCCGACUGACGCUCCGGUUCGAAGAUGUGACUACGGGACAGAGGUUCAGGGCCGAAGGGGUAGAGGAAGACCUAGGAAAACUUUGGAAGAGACUCUAAGAAAAGACUUAGAGUACUUGGAUCUAACGGAGGGCAUGACACAAAACCGAGCGCAAUGGCGUUCUAGGAUUCAUAUAGCCGACCCCACUUAGUGGGAAAAGGCUUUGUUGUUGUUGUUGUUGUUGAAUGGGUCAAGGUUGAUGUGGUAAGGAAUUUAUGGACAGUUGGACAAACACACACACACACACACACAUAUAUAUAUGUAUUAGUCCACCCUAUACGUAUUCUUUUGUCAAGCAUCUCCAAAGUUCUACCAUCUUAGAUACUGAUUGUUUUUCAGAAAUCAAACAUGCAAAAUUUCUAUGCAUGUUUUAAAAUUGGUUGUAGGAAGUAGGCUUCUAAGUGGAUAUUCUGUGUGAAGGUUGUUUUGGUCAGAUAUGCAAUAGAAAUUUGCAUCAUUGGGGAGUCUGGUGUCUAUCAAUGUUUAAUGGGCUUCUAGCUUUAAAACCCCACUAUUAGCAAGCAAGGCGAGGCUUAAAUUGUGGGUCAUAUGGUUGGUUAUUGAUUUUUUCUCAUGACAAUUCCAAUGUUUCUUUACGUAGAGCUCAUGAUUGUAUAUCAUGGGUUUCCAAUAAUAAAAAAAGCUUAACACACACGAUAAGAUAGCUUCCACUUUGUUAAGGUGUUUUCUUUUCUCAAUAGCAAUGAACCAUGCAGCCUACAUUUAUUUAUUUGAGAAAACUUUAGAAUUAGUCUUUGAAAUUUUUACUCUAGCAUCUCUUCAAGAAUAAAAGAACAAUUACCAAAUUAAAUCCCUAUAGACAUUGCUUAUAUCUUCAUCUCCGUAAGACCCUAAUCCAGAAUUCCCAGGGAUGCAAAAGAUUCCACAUAUGUUUGGUCAUUUUGCUAAAUUUCAUUAGAUUUGGCCCUCAAAUUUGAAAAAAACUUUCAUCUUGCUGUAAAUUUAAAUCUUUUCUCUCUGUGUUGGUCCAUCUCCUUAUAUUUGAAAGUCUCAGAAUUACUAAUAUUUAUUGUGUUUAGGAAUUUCAGGAUUUUGGAUUUUGGUUGGUUUAGGUUGCUGCAGAUGGGGGCUUUGGAUGUAAGGCGAUGGUUGGCAGACACUGAAAGGUUGAUUACCCUCCUUAUGGAAGGGACUUUGUGAACCUGCCUACUGGAAGGUUUUGCAAUGGCUGGUAAUUAACAAUAUUACCAUUUAGAUGCCUUCAGUUGUUCUUAUUGAAAGUAUUUAGUUGAAUUUUACUAUUUACAGCAAACCAUAUAAACAAUGAUAUGUAAUUCUAAGAGGAGAGAUUUAAUGGCAUUACCAUGUUUUUAGUUCGAUUCAAUGAUGCAAACUGUUAAUAUUAUUUUUGCGCAGAAUUAAUUUUCCAAAUUCACAUGACGGUGUUAAAAUUGAGAAUUGUUAAAAUAAUAUGAUUUACUUGGAAUCUGACGGUGUUAAACUGCAGCAAAUAAAUUUUUCCUAUUGUAUUGAAUUUUCGAAGGGCUUCCUUUCCACUUUUGAUAACUCGGCAGCUGCAAGCAAAGCGGAGAGUUUUUUUAUUCAAGAGCAACAAUCCAAAACAAUUUCCAUGGGAAGAGUCAUGGAUUCCUAUUUCUUAGCUCUCACUGCCAUUGUCACUGUAACACUGUCUCUCUCUCUUCCUUUGAAAGAUGAAUCUGAAUUUUUGAGCCCUGAUUUGUUAGUUACGCAGUCCUUGGAACGAAAUACAAACACAACUCGACAAAAGGUCUUCAUGUUGUCCCACAUUGGAGGAUUAUUAUAAAAUUUAUUAACUUUAUUAGGGUUUACAUUAGGCUUUUGAUCUCCAAAUAAUUCUUUAAAUUUGGUUCCCUUAUGGCUUGGAUAUGCAUACAAUCAUCGUUUGGAAUUUGGUUUUGAUUGCAAAUUUGGAAUUUGGUGUUUAUAACAUUUGAUUUUCUCGGAUUUUUUUACAUGUUUUUGUGGUGAUACAGGGGACGAAUUCUAGGAUGGAGGUGAAAGGAUUUGGAAGAAUCAGGUAUGCCUAUUCAUUCGCAAGGUGAUUGUUUUACAACUUAAAAUACCGUGCAAGUUUAUUUCACUAACAUUGCAUUGGUUUUUUAAUUUGAUAUGUUGUUUUGGUGUGUGACAAUCGAAGAACUUUUAAAUGUUUGCGAAUUUGGUUGACACUUAAGUGCUAUUCAUUUUGGUCAAGGCUUUGGUUUGUGGCCAGUUGGAAUUCAUUUUGCUAAAAUAAGAUAAAUUUUUUUUUGAGCAAAUUUGGGGUUUUGUUAGGUGUGGGGUUCUUUUGGCCUAAUUUUUUUUUAAUUGAUUUGGGGAUUUGUUUUGUUUGGUUUGCUAAGAUUUGGUUCCCUAAAAUUAGUUUUACAUGCAAUAAGAAUACUGCGGAUCAAAUUGUAGGUCCAAACAUCCCACUUUCGUUUGGAUGGGUUGGACAUCUUUUAGUUUAUGAAAGCAUCUUUGAAGGGAUCAAUUAUUUUUCUUCUUUUGUGGUUGAUUGAGGUGGGUUAUAGGAAUAAGGUGACGUUUUAGAGUUGAAAUUGUUUGUGUUUUUUGUGAUGCUCUUUCCUUUUCUUCUCAGUGAAAAAACAUACUAAAGUAACAACGCAAUAGUGGUGAGAAUAAGCAUUCUCAUGUAUCUAUGGAUGUGUGAUAUGAAUUAGGUGGAUGAUGUUGAAGCAUCAGUCAAUAAAAAACAAAUAGGAUCUUAGAUAGGAUUUUUUGCCACUGUAUCUUUUGUAAUCAGAUCGGUUGAAUGUAUAUAAAAGCCGAACUGCUUAUUUUACCGACACCUUUCACUCAUCUAUCCCUUUUGUUUGUUCAUGAUUAUGUUGAAUUUUUUUUUUUGAAGUUAAAUGUCUUAUACGUGUGGAUAAGACUGGUGCAUUCAAAUCCCGCGGCAACGCGCGGGCAUUUUUGCUAGUGAUCACUACAACUAAAUCUUACGGGCUAGAAAUUAGUAUUUCCAUCGAUUGGGAGUGAAUAUUCCAUUGGUGAAAUUUGGAAAUUAAACUCUCAUAUUCCCUCACAAAACAGGCAAUCUAAACAAACUGUAUUACCUUGUGAAGGGAUUCAAGCUCCUCGAGUGCGGCUUCCGAUUUUGGUACCUUAAGUGACCCUGCGUGAAUCUUUCCCAAAGCAUAACAAUGCCCUUUUUAUGCAAACUAUAACAAGACAUAAUGGUUAUAAGAGCAAUUCCACCCCUAAACACUUUGCGCCAGCACCUAGCGCAUUUAUCCACUCAAAUGAACAGUAAUAGAUCCCAGUGAAAAGUAAUAGGUCAAAACAUCUCCACCUCUAAAAAAAUGCCCUAGCACCCAGUCUAAAAAUGUGCUGGCACAAACGAUCUCCACCCUAUAAAAUGCGCUGGCAUCCAGCCCAUUUAAAAUAUUUUAUAUUUUUUUUAUAAAAGUACAAUUUUUUUUUUAAGUUUAUUUGGUGAGGUUAUGUAAUCUUAUUUGAUGUGUAUAAAUAAAGUACAAAAAAAAAUUGAAAUUGCAUAAAGUUUUAAAAAUAAAUAAGAAAUUACAUAAAGUACUAAUAAUAAAUAAGAAAUUACACAAAAUAAGAAAUUACAUCUAUAAAUAAAAAUAAAUAAGCAAUUACAUAAAGUACUAAUAAUAAAUAAGAAAUUACACAAGAAUUUAAAUAAAGUACUACAAAUAAAUAUGAAAUUAUACAAAGUCUCUGGAACUAGGAUAUGUGGUGCUAGGAUCUUCGUUGCUAGGAUUUGUGUAGCUAUAACCCCCUCGACUUGUUUCCGCAUCUCUUUCACGCCUCAUUCGCACGAUGUCUCUUUUUUCCGAUGUCCAAAAAUAUUUUGAAUUCGGAGACAAUCCUACUAGAGACUUGUUCAUAAUGUCACGAUCUGCUUGAGCUAUCAUUUCUUCUCUAAGCAUCUCAUUUUCUCGAUUAAGUGCUUCUCUAAUCAUCUCGUUCUCUCGAUUAACUAUUUCUCUUUGUCUCUCAACCGCCGCAUCACGUCUCUCAGUAGUUGCUAAUAUUGCUGCCAUAACAUUAACUUUUUCCUCAUCUCUAGCCGCUUCCGUGCCAUGUUCAGUUCACCUUGGCAAGCAAGUUCCUCCAUAUAUUUAGUGUAGUCAUUUUUGGAAGAACUACCUUUUUUCUUUGAUGCCUUUUUACCUUGAGCCCUGAGGGACUGACGAGUCGGUUGGGUCUCCGGUACUUCUUCAGGCGUCCCUUCCAUGUCUUCAAAUGUCUCGCCUUCUUGUUCAACCGUGUCUGCUUCUGGCGAACUGUGUAGACACAUGCCGUGCGUGACAACUUCUGGACCGGUUGCCACAAUUUUGUAUCUGGGGCAAUCUUUGACAAUUUCCCAACAUUCCCAUCUAUUGAAUGAUUUGUUGGUUCUUCGCAUUGUAGAAAGCUUGUGCUUGUAGUGUCUAUAAAUGUGGGAUAAGACAGUAUUAUAAAAAAUGUGGGUGUAACACCUAUAAAUAAAUUAAAAUAUUGAUGCGGGUGGAAUACAUAUAAAUAAAUAAAAAUAUGGUCACCUAAUCCGCUAAACUCGUCCCACUACGUAGACUACCGGAAGCAUGAGAGAUGGCGUUUUUCCAACAAGUAAAGGAUGCGUUGAGUUUUUUCCAACGACCAUGAAGACCUACAUUUUUUUAUUCCAUGUACAUCACAAAACGCUUUCCUAAUUUUACUCCACAUUUCUCGCUUAUCCAUCUCAUUACUCGUAAUCGGGUCAUGAGUUGUGUGAACCCAACAUUCGCACAAUGUAACAUCUUCAAUGACCUUCCACGUAGACAUUUUUUUCUUUCAAAGUGUAGAAAAUAUUGAAAUGUAGAAAGUAUAGAAAAUAUUGAAAUGUGGUGUAAGGUGGAAGAUGAGGGUUAGGUAUUUAUAGAAUUUUUUUUUUUAAUUUUCUGUAUUUUUUAAUAAUUUAUUUGUAUUUUUUCGUAAUUUUUAAUAAAUUUUAAUGUAGUUUGUUUUGUAUCAUACUUGAUCAAUCCCGAAACUACUAAGCACAAGUCAACGUUAUAUCGUCAAUGAUCCAUAAGAGUUUCCUUCCAACCAAGAGGCCAAUCACAGCGUGACACGUGUCGAUAUCAAAGGCCAAUCAUAGCGCGACACGUGUCAACAUCAGAGGCCAAUCACAGCACAACAUGUGUCAAAGUCAGAUCAAAGUUAGAAACUCUCUUCUAUAAAAGGAGAUCAUUAUCUCACAAUAUUUCCUAAUGUCAUUUGUACUAAACCAUUCACUAGUACUCACUAAAGGAGACCUUGAACCUAUGUACUUAUGUAAACCCUUCACAAUUAAUGAGAACUCCUCUACUCCGUAGACGUAGCUAAUCUGGGUGAACCACAUACAUCUUGUGUUUGCUUCCCUGUCUCUAUCCAUUUACAUACUUAUCCACACUAGUGAUCGGAGCAAUCUAGCGAAGGUCACAAACUUGACACUUUCUGUUAUACCAAAGUCCUCGCUAAUUUUGUGCAUCAAUAUUUGGCGUCGUCUGUGUGAAAUCGCACUUAUUCCUACUCUCUUCAGCUUUGUCAAGAUGGUUUCCACCAUUGGUACACUCUCUUUUAACUAGACAUUCCUCUUCAACAUGGGGAGCGAAGGAAGCCACAACACGCAGAACGACACCCCCUCACCUAGUGUGAAGCAAUGAAAGAAACUCGUUCUUCAAGCUAAAGUUGAGGAGCUAGAAGCUCAGAACAACAAGAUAGCAAUAAAGAAUAAGAUCCUUCAAGAACAAUAUGAGAAGCUCUUUGAGACGCUCCAUGAAACUAGGUGUACUCAAACACGCGAGCUUGUUGCCCCUGUGGACAUCAACCAUCAUCUGGGUGCCCCACAACACGAAAGGUCACCUUCAUUCGACAUAGGUAUCCCUGAUGAGGAGCGAGCUAAUCAUCAAAACAUUGAUCAACAUGAGACUUCUCUCAACCCAGCUAUUUCGACCCCAAGCAUGAGGAGUGGAGGAAGACACCUCUUUGCAGAAGGGUUAGAAGAAUCGAAAGUCAUUUAUCGUGACUGCCGAGACUUCCUAAAGCAACGUUGAGAUAAUCUCAUCCACAUAAGCUCGAAGAUCAAUGACCCAAGGGUUUAUGAAAAAACUCAGUCCCCUCCCACGACCCAGGCCAACUGCCAAUCUAGGGAAAGAACGACAGAUCCCAGAGGAACAGGAAGGUACAGGGGACUUGGAGGUAUUCCGACAGACUCGCCCUAGAAGUCAGUACAAUAAUUCCAAGGAAAAACCACACGCUCUUGCUCAAACUUUCCUACUUCCAAGAGGCGAUGGAGACUUAUAGAAGAAAAUUCCAGUGGUACAUGACUCCACUCAAGACCCCAUUGUCCUAUAACUCCUUGAGGAAGUAAACAAGUUGAAGGCCGAACGUCAGGUCGAGAUACCUGACUGGAACCAACUCAGGCCUAGCCCUCUCACAAAGAGGAUCCUCGACACCCCCUUCAAGCGAAGACAAAACAAAAGCUUGGUUUACAACUCUAUACUAGAAGGGAGGACACGAUUGAACACCUUAACCCCUUUGAGUCCACCUUGGCAUAUCAGAUGCACACCGACGAAGAGCAUUGUCUUUUCUUCCCUUCCACCCUAUCUGGCGAAGCUCUAAAUUGGUAUUGCCGUCUUUCACCCGAGAUAGUAAACUCAUUUGAGGAACUAAGGAAACUGUUUGUCUCUCAACACAUCUUCCAGACCGAUCGCUUACAUUUUGCAGAUGACUUGUACACUAUUCACUAAAAGCCGGACGAGUCACUACGAGAGUAUAUUGGUCGCUUCAGCCGUGAGUAUUCUCGCUGCGCUGAGGCAGAUGACAAGACCGCCUUCAAAGCCUUCAAUGCAGGCCUAUGUGAUUGUUUUUUCAAGUACAUGAUCAAUGCCAACACUUGGAAGACUUACUCUGAGCUGAUGGCACAGGCUUACAACCACGCCUCCGCCGAAGCAAUGACAUACCAAGGGAACCCCCAUAUGGUUAACCUCUAUCAACAAGUGGGAAGUGAAAGUCAAGUUCUACCAAGUGAGAAGAUCUUGGCCAUUCAGAUACCCAUUGCAUCAUCUCCUGCCUCAUUUAGCUACUCGCUAAGUCACCAAGCGUAUUUGUCUCUUGGUAAGAAGAAUGAUUUUUAUUCUCAGCAAGCCCAUUACAACAAGAGGGAUAAAAGUUCGUAUCAAGACAACCAGUGGUGAACGUACUAUCGACUAUUAUGACUAUAGGGCCAAGCCUCAUUCUUUCAAAGUCGAGAACUAGGUAUUAAAGGAAAUGCUAUUAUAAGAAGGCAUACUCAUUACAAAUGUUUUGACCCUCAACCAUUUAAGAUCUUUUGUCACACAAGCCAUUCAGCAAAUAUUUAAAGAAAAGGGAAUUCAGACAACUUCUUCUGAGUCUUUUGCAUUCCUAGCACUGGAACACUUGGUCUACGCAUACCUACCUCUAUACUCUAACUCAGAGCUUCAACAUGUGUACUUUGACAAAAAGUAUGUGAUACUAAGUGUUACAACCAACAUGGUUCACAUAUCGAAAACAUGGAUCCUUUCAUGCAUAACAAAGCAUUCAUAAGCAUCACUCAUGUCAAUCAACAUAAACAUCAUACAUUCCAACACAUUCAUCCAUAAACAUCAUACAUGCCAACACAUUCAUCCAUAAACAUCAUACAUUCCAACACAUCCAUACAUAAGCCAAUUGUGCUUUGAAAGGGUUUAACACACUUUGUGUCAUUUGACACUUGCUACAAUGUGCCUUGACACCUUGCCCUUAUUCUCACCAACUAAGUGAUGAAGGAACUCACCUUCAUGCCACAAACCAGGUGAUAAAAUGUACAACCCGUACUCUAAUAUUAUUUGGUAACUUGCCACUCUUAUCACCAACCAGGUGAAGAAAGAACUCACCUUCGUGCCACCAACCAGGAGAUGAAAUGUACAACUCGCACUCUGAUAUUAUUUGGCAACUUGCCACUAUUAUCACCAACUAGGUGAAGAAGGAACUCACCUUCGUGCCACCAACCAGGUGAUGAAAUGUACAACCCGUACUCUAAUAUUAUUUGGCAACUUGCCACCCUUAUCACCAACCGGGUGAAGAAUGAACUCAUCUUCAUGCCACCAACCAGGUGAUGAAAUGUGAUGAAGGAACUCACCUUCGUACCAUCAACCAAGUGAUGAAAGCAACUCACCAUUCAUUCCACCAACCAGAAGAUAAAUGGUACAACUUGUACAUGUGAACUCCUAGCAUUCACAAAUAAUCAAAAACCCUCAAGCUUUACAACUCAACUAAGAGAGCACUUAUGCCUAACAAGAUUUAUAGUCACCAACAAAGUCUUAUUACAAGCUAACAACGGCUUAAGUGCAUGGUAUACGAAGAUCAAGCUCUUCAGCCCUCUUGCAUCUGCUUCAGACAUUUCUCCUCUGUAACAAUGCAAACACUACAACUCGUAGAAAGCUUCACACACUCUUAAUCAAGACUGUUCGAAGCAAAUUCAAUUUAUAUGGUUGAUCCAAACCUUCGACUACUACAAGGUGUGGCUUGCACCACAAUCUCUUGCUUAACAGUGUGGAAGCAAAAUUUGUAUAUGUUGUCUCUCCUACAUUUUCAAAUUUCUAGUUUUCCCAGAAAAAAAAAAUGGGAAAUUCAACAACUUCAACAAAUGGAGGGCAACUACAAAUUCCAAAAGCUUCACACACUCUUGAUCAAGAUAGUGUGAAGCAAAAUCAAUUCAUGGUACCCAACAAAGCUUCACUACAAAGCUUCACCACAAAAGCUUCACCACAAAAGCUUCACCAACAAAAGCUUCAACAAAUGGAUGAGAACUACAAAUGUCAAAAGCUUCAUACACUCUUGAUCAAGAUAGUGUGAAACAAAAUCAAUUCAUGAUACCCAACAAAGCUUCAACCUUCAAAGCUUCACUACAAAGCUUCACCUCAAAGCUUCACCACAAAGCUUCACCUACAAAGCUUCAACCUUAAGAGCUUCACUACAAAGCUUCACCUCAAAGCUUCACCACAAAACUUCAACCUUCAAAGUUUCACCUCAAAGCUUCACCACAAAGCUUCAACAACAAAGCUUCACCUACAAAGCUUCAACACCAAAGCUUCAACUACAAAACUUCAACAUCAAAGCUUCACCUAUAAAGCUUUAAAAAUAUAUAUUUUUGUUCAAAAAUUCGAAGAAAAAAAAAUUCGAAAAUUCAAAAAUUCAAAAAAAAUAAAAUAAAAUUAAGGCCUAGGCCUCCCCUUCUUUGGACCUAACAACUUUCAUAACAAAUAUAUAUGAAUGAGGAGUUUUGGGCUACCACUUAGAAAGGAAAAUGGUGAAGUUUUGUUACUUUGGAAACUUGGCUACUAGCAAGACACCUCAUUCGUCAACUCCCUCAACUGAGGACUUGGGGGACUCCUACCAUAUGCUACUGCACCUUGAUACUCAGAAGUCUCACGACCAUUUAGUGACUUGGAUUUUUCAAGUUUCCAACCGAGAAAUUUUCCUUACUCGGGAAAUUAAGGGAGCACUAUUUCAACCUACAGGAUCCACCCACGAAGUUUCAACAUGCAAACUUCAACAAAAUAAAAAAUUCAAAGAACUUAGUGAAGGAUGCCUUAGUGUAUUUAACAUAAUACGCUGAAUGAAGUAAAAUUUAUUUAUUGAUAUCUCUCAUAAAUUACAAAUAUAUGCAUACACAUGCAUCAAAACAAACGAACAAAAGGGAGCCUUCACAAAGGUUGCUCAGGAGAAAUCUCAACAGUCGACAGAGCCCCAGAAAAAUGAGGCACCAAAGGGUGAUCAUUUGGAGCUUCAUUACGCGGUACAGCCCCAAAAGACGAAGGUAAUAAAUGCCUUUAGAACAAAUCCAUAAACCUCUGAUGAUCAAGUAAAAUUUGACCAUCAGAUUCCUGCAACUAGUUAAGCUUCCUCUUCAUGUUUGUAGCAUAGUCAUAUGCGAGCCUAUGCAAUUAUUUAUUCUCAUGCUUGAGCCAUCUGAUCUCCUGUUUGAGACUUAUCACUUUAGCCGCCAAUGAUUCAGCUUGGCGGGUUCGAGCAAAUAGGCGUUGGGCCAUAUUAGACACAGAACCUGCACACUGAACACUAAGAGCCAGAGAAUCCUUAACAGCCAACUCAUCAGACCGUUUGGAAAGUAAUCUGUUAUCUUUGGGAGUGAAAAGGUUCAUGGCCACCACCGCAGCGAUCAUAUCAUUCUUUAUCACAGAGUCCCUAACGGUAAGAGGACCAAUAGGGGAUAAGAAGGAUGGGCGCCAUAUGUUGUCUUGAGGAGGCAUGGCUGCCUCUUCACCAAAGUUCAAGUUAAAACGACGGUCGAAUGGGCCAGACAUUUUCAGAAAUGAUGAAGGAGAAAUGAGGUCCAAUAAAUCUAUGAAGUACGAAAAUAAAGGGAAAAUUCCUGCAAGUAAUAACUCUCUGAACAUACUUCUUGCACACAAUUGGUGCCCUUAUAAAAGAAAGGGCAUCAGACCCGUUUGUUCAAAAAUCGAAGAGGCACCACUCUCCGGAUUUCGAGAAGCAGAUUUUCCUGAGUAAAAUAUGUUGACAAUCCCCACACGCAACAUCAGCUCCUCGGGUACCACAGAUAACUUUGCCAAAGAUCUCUGACAAAGUUCAGACACAUAAAUUUUGAAGGUUCAGCUACCUUACCAUUACCCAUAAGGGUAAAGGAACAACAUCAUUGCUUGAUAACUGGAAAGUCCCUAUGUGUGUCAACCUCCGUGCUCCGUGGCAAGGUAGACUUGCAAAAAUACCCAACCUUUACUCACAUCGAGAAAACACUCCAAUUAGGAUUGCUUUCUCAAAAAUCGAAGAGGCACCGCUCUCCGAAUCUUGAGAGCCAGACUCCAACCAGGAUUGCUUUCUCAAAAAUCGAAGAUGCACCGCUAUCUAAAUCUCGAGAACCAAACUCCCACUAGGAUUGCUUUCUCAAAAAUCGAAGAUGCACCACUAUCCGAAUCUCGAAAGCCAGACUCACAACAGGAUUGUUUUCUAAAAAAUCGAAAAGGCACCGCUCUAAAUCUCAAGAGUCAGAUCCUCAAUAGGAUUGCUUGUUUAAAAAUUGAAGAGGCAAUGCUCUCCGAAUCUCGAGAGCCAGAUCCCCAAUAUGAUUGAUUGUUCAAAAAUCGAAGAGGCACAGCUCUUCGAACUUCGAGAGCCAUAUUUCUUUGGAUAAAAUUUGUCUGCAAUCUUCACAUGAAACAUCAGCUUUCCAAAUACCACAUACCACUUUUUCAAAGUGCUCUGACAAAGUUAAAACACAUGAAUCUUGCAGCUCCCACUACAUUGCUAUGACCGAGAAGGGUAAAGGAACAACGUUACAUCUCGCUGUUGGAACAAUUCCUAUAUAUGUCGACCUCCAUCCUCCACAGCCAGACAGACCUGCAAAUAAAAAAAAAAGCUCAACUUUUCUUCACAUCCGAGAGGGCACUCUCAGCAGAGUCUCUCAAAAUACUCAACUUUCCCCCCUGAUAAUACCUCUGCAAACAAGCCACACCAGAGCAAGAGUAUCUCAUAUCAUCAGGGUUAAAAGCAAGAGUAUCACAUAUCAUGCUUUUUCCCUGUCUUUUCCUUUGCCCUUGCUCUUACUUGCAGGACAAGGAGAAAGAACACAAUCAGUCGGAACCUGAAAUCAAACUUCCGAUCUGGAAUUGAUUGCCCGAAAUGUUUGCAUGGUUGCUUGCCUAACAUUGCUCUCGAGUACUCAUCCUUAAUUGUUGUCAAGGUCGCGAAUUCUUUCGGCAAAUACCUCAGAACAGUUGAUACAAUAUUGGCUCUUCACACUGAAGUUGCCAAGCAUGGAUGAGUCGCUGAGAAGUAGUGCUUUGAAUGACCAUUCAAAUGCAAAGGUUGCGCACCACUUAUGCGAUGCAAAAGAUUGAAGCAGAAGGGUUAACGAUGAGCUGAAACAGAUCACUAUAGCACGACGCGCUCCUUGCAGAACCGCAUAAUCCAAACGAAUGAGUCUAAGUCAAAUCUAAGCUCGACAUCGUUGCCCUAUCCGAAUAGCUCGAGAAGCUUCAACAACCUUUCGCUGACAUUGUUGCCAAAGAGCAAAGCCUCUUCAUGCCACAUCCACUACUUUGUCAACAACAAAAGUAUCCCAUAUCAUCAAGGUCGAACGAACUCUUGAUUUGAUGGACUGAUUUUGAUCCUCAAAUUCUUGAGUUAGCCUUAUACUCUGGAGGAAACUAGAAAACCCUCAAGCUCAAUUCAAGAAUAAGCCUGUGGAAAGUUACUUCUUCAAAAGCAAAAGUAUCUCAUAUCAUCUCUUCUCCUUUUUCUUCUCUUUAUCCUUUUUGCUGCCUGCAAGAUAGGGAGAAUGAGAAUAAUCAGCUGGAACUCGAAAUCAAACUUCUGAUUUGGGAUUGAUUGCUUGGAACUCUAAUUGCUUACCUUGUCUGUCACCUCUUUCGGCAAAUCCCCUCGCUCAGACACUUGGGGGACUCUUACUAUAGGGUUUAUAUCACGCUUGACCAAGUUCGAAACUACAAGUAAGCUUCAAGUGAAAUUGGUACAUUACCUUGUGCAUCUCUAUUGGUUAAAGAUACCACCCUUGGAUGGAGGAAAAGUACUUCCAGAGAAGAUGCCACAUCUACCUAUGAGACAUAUAAGGCAAGUGAAAACGAUACCAUACUUCGGUACUUAGAAGUUUCGUGAUUACUCAGUGGCUUGGAUCUUGCAAGUCCCUAACCGAGGAGCUUCCCUCACUCGGGAACUUAAGCAAGCACUGUUUGUACCAUACUUGACCAAUCCUGAAACUACUGAGCACCGAUCAACGUUAUAUCGUCAAGGAUCCACAAGAGUUUUCCUCCAACCAGGAGGCCAAUCACAGCAUGACACAUGUCGACAUCAGAGGCCAAUCAUAGCGCGACACAUGUCAACAUCAGAGGCCGAUCACAGCACGACACAUGUCAAAGUCAGAACAAAGUUAGAAACUCUCUUUUAUAAAAGGAGAUCAUUUUCUCACAAUAUUUCCUAAUGUCAUUUAUACUAAACCAUUUACUAGUACUCACUAAAUGAGAGUUUGAACCUAUGUACUUGUGUAAACCCUUUACAAUUAAUGAGAACUCCUCUACUCCGUGGACGUAGCCAAUCUGGGUGAACCACGUACAUCUUGUGUUUGCUUCCCUGUCUCUAUCCAAUUACAUAUUUAUCCACACUAGUGAUCAGAACAAUCUAGCGAAGGUCACAAACUUGACACUUUCUGUGUUACCAAAGCCCUCGCUGAUUUUGUGCAUCAACAUAGUUAAUUAAUCUAGACCGUUAGAUUUGAAAAAUAUUCAAAUCCAAGAGCCAAGGAGCUGCCACGUGGCCAAUGGUCAUAAUUUUGACCGUUGGGCCUUUUUAUUUUUAUUUUUGGGGAAAAAAUGUGGACCGUUGAUAUAUGAUCGACGGUCCAUAUUAAAAGUAAAAUUUAAAUUUUUUUACCGUUGGAAAUCCAACGGUCUAGAAAAAUUAGCCGUUAGAAAUCCAACGGCACUGAAAGGGCCACAUCGCCUACUUCCGAGUGAAGAACAAAUGGGUUGGCAGCAGGCCUCGCUGCCUGCACCCAUGUCCCUUACUCGCGCCCACUCGCGAGUGAACUGCACACGCCAGCCAAAUAGUCCAAUCUCUGGGUCUGUCAAAAAAUGGGCUAGUCUGUUACCUGGCUUGGGUUGGGUGCCAAGCAAGUUUGUGGGCUAGAGUGAAUGGACUGAUCCCCAGCUUGGUUUUUUGACUAGGUGCCGGCACAUUUGCACCCCAGUGGAAGUGCUCUAGUGGUUACCGGUAAAGAAUAAACAACAUGCAACACUCGAGAACAGUAUUUUAAUGUCACCUCCGUAAGGCUCUAAGCUGAAAUUUCAUCAUCCAUGUCAAGUGGGCUGCAAAUUGCAAUGAUAAUAAAUCUAAAUCGGUCAAAGUUUAACACAAAAACACUUAAGUUUAGAAGAUAUGCAUUAUGGUGAUAAUCAAUUUAUUCUGAGCACUGUCAGUUUAACAAAAAAAAGUCUAAGCAUGUUAUAUCCAGUUGCCAAGAAAAAAAAGAAGAAGAGUAAACCGUCAAUUUGCCCCCUGAACUAUCAUCCAACUUUCGAUUUUCCCCCUAAACUUUAAUUGGAAAAUUAAGGACUUAAUCUAAUUUUUUUGGCCGAUUUGUCCCCUACCGUUAGUUUUUCAUAGAUUUCAUCCAAAUUAACGUUAACUUUUAUCAUGAACAAACCACGUAACUCUCAUUUGUGGACAAAAACUUCACUUCACUAGACAUUCAGACACAAAAACUAUAGAAUCACACAUAUUUGCAUAUGUUUAUAUUUUAUAAAUCUAAGGUUUUCAAUUAUUUUAAAAAAUGAAACGACCGAAUUACCAACACAUGUUGUGUACAUACUUCUAUUUAACAGAAUUUUGGAUGGAAUGAAUGAAAAAUUAACAUCAGGGGCAAAUCGGCCAAAAAAAUUGGUUUAAGUCUUUAAUUUUUCAAUUAAAAAUUUCAGGGGAAAAAAUCAAAAGUUGGGUGAUAGUUCAGAAGGCAAAUCGGCACUCAAAAAAAAAAAAAACCAUCAACGCCACCUAAACUUUAAUUUUAAUUUUAAUUUUUUUUAGAAAUCUCAAACACAUUUCAUCCUGAUCUAAUUACCACACUAAGCAAUGCAGUCCAAAUAUAAACCAAAAUUCAACCAAAACAAUCAAAACCCACUAACAAAACACUUCACACAGAUCCAAUCAGAGCAAAAACCCAGAUUCAAUCACACACACAAACCCUCAAAUUAACACAACCCAGAUGCAAAAUCCCCAAAUUUAACUGAAACCCGCGGCUCAGAAGAAGGUAAAAGAUUACCUUGCCAUCGACGAUGAGGCAGCAGUCCUUGCGAUCAUUGUGAGUGGAGACGUCAGCCAAAGUGUAGACCUUUUUUAAGGGCCAGAUCCCAGACUUGUGGAUUUGGUGGAAGGGAUUCGGAGUCCUUUCCGUUGAAAAUCUCAUCUCCUCUCCUUUCAGCCCUUCAAGGAAAACUCACUUCUUGGGCCGUCUUCAACCACGUAAAGCUUCACUCUUUUAUUAAUUUUUGUGUUUAAAAUUGUUGGGGUUUGCAGUUUUGGAUUGAAAUUUGUGUUUUGGGAUUUGUUGGGUGCUCACAUGUGGAAAUUUGGAAAGUUUUAGUUGUGGAUUGUGGGGAACUGACGCAGUGGCGGUCCCAUUUCAUGUAAGUUGCUUUUGUUUUUCUGUUUUUGGUGAAAUAAUGAUGAGGAGGGUUGGAUAGUUGGACUGGUUUUAUUUUUUAUUGUGAAAUUAGAGUGGGAUCGAUCAAGGUUGAGACUUUUUUAGGUAAGUGUAAUUGUGAAAGUUAUGUUUCUACAAAUUUUUUGGCGAAUUUUGUGACUUGGUGGAUUUGGAAUUUUGGUUAUAUUAGAUAUAUGUGUAAAGAAAAUAGUUGAACUGCAUGAAGCUUGAUGUAAUUCUGGUUUUAAUCAAUGUUGGACUUGGGAAACCUAGUGAAUCUACUAUUAGUUGAGAAACUUAAAGGAGCUUGAGGGGUAAUGAGGGUUUUAGGUAUUUAGUAACAUUCAGGCCAUGCUUGAUGUCUAUUUGAUGUCAGCGUAUCGAAAAUGCUUGAACAAAGAAGAAAGGUGCUCGAAGAGCUGCAGUGGUUAACUACUUGGUUUGAUUAGAUUGCUAUGUUAAUCAAAAUGUCCCCUGUAGUAUGUUAUAGGGUUAAUGUUUUACAUAAGUGUUCUUUAGCGACUUGGUUUCAAAAUUUUCGUUUUCGUUUGACUUUCCUUGGUCUGUGAGGCCAAUGGUAGAAUGAUCAUGGAAAUUGUUUUGUCUUAAUAUCUCUGGUAAGAGCAGGCGUGCAUUCUUAAAGGACUUAGUUGUCAUUCUUUUAAGCUGUUUAAUGUGCUCAUUUCAGUAUGCAUCAUCCAAAGUCUAUAACUGCUAAAAGUAGCACUACAAGGGUGAUGGAACUAUCAUCUGUUUGGAAGUAAGAGCUAUAGACAUGCCCCAUAAGGGUCAAUAGGUCUCAGUUGCAUAUCUAACUUGUUUCUCAUUUGUUUUCAUUCCUGAAGGUUAGAAAAGAUGGGUGCUCUAGAUGCGCAGAGAGUGGUUCAUCAACACCAAGGUGGCGGCUGAUCUCAUGUAUGUGGUUACAUGCUGGAGUUUUCCACGUGCUUGCCAAUAUGCUGAGUCUUGUAUUCAUUGGAAUUUGGCUUGAGCAAGAAUUUGGAUUUGGUAUACAUCUGGAUUUUUAGCUUCAUGUAUGUUAUCAUGCAUGUAUGGCCACAUCCAUAAGUGUUUGUAGUAAAAGAUAAAGCACACGACAUAAGUUGUAGAAUAAUAAAUUACUUACCAAGUGCAAAACUUCUUUCAUAAAUCUAGAAGAGAAACACUUUCCGGAUGGCGUUAGCUACCUUGGGAUUAAUCUAUAGAGGAUUUCCUAUGCAUUUGUUUAUUGAAUUGCAAUCCUAGAGUAGUGGUCAUAUAGUACUGGUUGCGUUAUAACUUACACCGAUAUGUUGUUUGGUUUGAUGUAAACAAGAGGAUGUUUUAUUCAGCGGUGAGCAAAGAAAAGAGUUUAUACACCGAAUAUGGGGUUCAAACUUUAGUUUUAGACAUAGUAUUCCAUUUUACAGAAUAAAAUUGCUUGAAACAGAAGCUGAGAGAUUAUUUCAGUUUUCCAUCACAUUUGUGUGAACAAAGAUUGUUUUGGAUAUCCUGUACAUGUAGACAUGGCGCCUCAUUUUGAAAUGUUUCAAGAUGCUGUCUAUUUGAAAAGAUUGAAAAAAUAAUAGUUUGAGGCUGAUCUACAUCAUGUACAGUUGUUUUGAUGAACUGUUUUAACUAAUUGGUUUGAAAUUCUAAUGUUUUUCUGAUUUGUUCUUUGGCAGUUCGAAUUGGUUUCCUAUAUCUCAUGUCUGGUUUUGGUGGGAGUUUGCUUUCAGCUCUUUUUAUUCAAUAUGGUAUUUCUGUUGGUGCUUUUGGUGCACUUUUUGGUUUAAUAGGAAGCAUGCUUUCAGAGCUCACAUGAAAUUGGACAAUGUAUGUAAAUAAGGUAAAAAAAAUUCCGUAUACUCAAUGAUGCACCUCUUUAUAGUAUGUGCACGGCCCUUUGAUCUUACAGUUUCAGAUUUCGACCUGCAGUUAGCAGCAUUGCUUACUCUCCUUUUCAUCAUCAUAAUAAACUUAGCAUUGGAAAUUCUACCACACAUGGACAACUUUGCUCAUAUUGGAGGAUUUGUCUCCGGAUUUCUUCUUGGAUUUUUGUUUUUGAUCCACCCACAGUUUAAAUGGCUUACCCAAUGGAAUGCUCCCCCUUGACGUGUUACUACUCCAGUUAAAUCUAAACACAAGACGUAUCAAUAUGUAUUUCUGGGUCCUCUCUUUGAUACUAUUGAUUGUUGGGUAAGCUCCUCCUCAAUCUCUGAUUUAACUGUUUGACUUCAUGAACCUAAUCGACUCCAUGCAUGAAAAUCUGGUGGCCACAGUUGAAGUGUGCACAAUUUUUUUUUUAUCAAAUCAGAGAACUUGGGAGCAGCCUCUCCAUAAAUGGGGGUAAGGCUAGCCGACAUUCACCUCUCCCAGACCCUGCGUAAAGCGGGAGCCUUGUGCACUGGGUACGACCUUUAUCAAAUCAGAGAACUGGAUUUUGUGUAGAUAUGUAGAUAUCAUGUGUCCUGUAAUAUUUUCAUUGCGAAUAGGCUAUCUGCUUGUUUCUCAUCAGAAUGGUUUGGAGAAGGCAUUGUGUUAUCACUAUUCUUUGUGUAGUACUAAUUGAUCACUUUGUUGGUAGCGGCUUCUACUUUGUUGUUUUAGAUUGCAUAUGUUGGCAGUACUUUGAUGUUUUGUUAUUGGAAAUAAAGGUUCCUUUUCCUCGUAUUUGUGUAGUAUCAGUAUAUGCAAGCAUUUUCUGACAGAAGUCGUGUUUUUGACAGGUAUACUCUUGGCUUGGUUACUCUUUUUCGAGGGAGGAGGGGGAGGGCGUCAGGUAGUCGACAACCAGCACUCCAUGAUCAUGUCGAAUCCUUAUGAAAAUGAAUCCAGAACGAAAUUGCGCUAAAGCUAGGGCGUCACCCGUAAGUGGCGCGCUGUGUGGCCCGAGCACAAUGAUAAGUGAGCAAGGGUCGCUGUAUCUCCAUCGGCACCCGGAUGCAGUGGUAAAUGAGCAAGGGGGCUAUAGAAACUUCUUUUCGAACGACUCCACUCAAAGUUGUUUGGGAGCAUAUGCUCCUAUCAACUUUACACGGGACACACAAAAGAAGUACUUUGAUCCUAUUAGACGGGGAAGGGUGAAGAAGCUAGGACAGAAGGGUAGAGUUCAAGAGAGCAAAAUGCGUUUAGGAUCGUGGAAUAUAGGAACAUUGACGAGAAAAUCUAUGGAAGUAGUAGAAGUUAUGGUGAGAAGAAGGAUAAAUAUUAUGUGCCUACAAGAAACUAAGUGGGUUGGGCGUAAGGCAAAGGAUCUAGAAAACUCAGGGUUUAAACUAUGGUAUUCGGGCACAAAUAGAACGAGAAACGGUGUUAGCAUCAUCGUGGACAAGACCUUGACACAAGAUGUUGUAGAUGUCAAGAGGGUAGGAGAUAGAAUCAUGGCAAUCAAGAUUGUAAUAGGACAAGAACUUAUCAAUGUGAUUAGUGCGUACGCACCUCAAGUAGGGUUGGAUACGAGUUCGAAGGAGAAAUUUUGGGAAGAUCUUGGAGACUUGGAGCAAGGAAUUGCUCAGACGGAGAAGUUAUUUAUAGGAGGAGAUUUAAAUGGACACGUGGGCAGGGAGACAGGCAACUAUGGAGGUUUUCAUGGUGGCCAUGGUUUUAGGGAGAGAAACGAGGAUGGGGAAGCUAUCUUGGAUUUUGCAAUGACAUAUGAUCUCUUCUUAGCCAACACCUUCUUUAAGAAGAGAGAAGAACAUAUGAUCACCUACAAGAGUGGGUCGUCAAAAACACAAAUAGAUUUUCUUCUAAUGAGGAAAGGGGAUCGUAUAACUUGUAAGGAUUGCAAAGUUUAUACCAGGAGAGAGCGUGGCUAAUCAACAUCGCUUGUUGGUGAUGGAUGUACAUAUCAAAACGAGUGAGAAAAAAGAACAAGACUUGGAAGUGCCCAAGGACUAGAUGGUGGAAUCUAAAAGAAGAAAAACAAGUCAUUUUCAAAGAGAAAGUAAUCACCCAGUGUGUGUGGGAUAGAGAGGGGGAAGCUAACCAAAUGUGGGAUUCCAUGGCUAGUUGUAUCCGAAAAGUAGCAAAAGAGGUAUUAGGAGAGUCCAAGGGCUUUGCCCCACACCAAAAGGAAUCUUGGUGGUGGAAUGAGGAGGUACAAACAAAGGUGAAGGCUAAGAAGGAAUGUUGUAAAGCCUUAUACAAGGAUAGGACCGAUGAAAAUGGUGAAAGGUAUAGAAAAGCGAAGCAAGAGGCGAAGAAAGCUGUGAGAGAAGCUAAGUUAGCGGCUUAUGACGAUAUGUAUAAGCGACUAGAUACCAAAGAAGGAGAGUUUGAUAUCUAUAAACUAGCUAGAGCAAGGGAAAAGAAGACAAGGGACCUAAACCAAGUGAGGUGCAUCAAGGAUGAGGAUGGAAAGGUUCUUGCUACAGAGAGAACGCGGUUAAAGACAGAUGGAAAGGUUAUUUUCAUAAUCUUUUCAAUGAAGGACAUGAAAGGAGUGCUUCUUUAGGGGAGUUGAGUAACUCAGAAGAGUGUAGAAACUACUUUUUUUAUCGUAGAAUCCGGAAGGAAGAAGUGGUUGUAGCUUUGAAGAAGAUGAAGCAUAGAAAAGCAGUAGGCCCAGACGAUAUACCAAUCGAAGUGUGGAAAGUUUUGGGAGAGACAGGUAUAACAUGGCUCACUGACCUUUUCAAUAGGAUUUUGAAAACGAAGAAGAUGCCAAAUGAGUGGCGAAUGAGCACUUUGGUGCCUAUCUACAAGAAUAAGGGCGAUGUACAAAAUUGCAUGAACUAUAGGGGUAUUAAGCUAAUGAGUCAUACAAUGAAGCUCUGGGAAGAGAGUCAUUGAGCAUAGAUUGAGGCAAGAGACACGGGUUUCGGACAACCAAUUCGGGUUCAUGCCAGGGCGCUCAACCAUGGAGGCAAUCUAUCUCUUACGAAGAUUGAUGGAAAAGAUAUAGAGAUGGGAAAAAGGAUUUACACAUGGUCUUUAUAGAUUUGGAAAAAGCGUAUGAUAGGGUCCCAAGAGACAUUCUUUGGAGGAUUUUAGAGAAGAAAGGAGUACGAGUAGCAUAUAUCCAAGCUAUACAGGAUAUGUAUGAAGGAGCAAAGACUGCCGUAAGAACUCAUGAAGGACAAACCGAAAGCUUUCCCAUAACUGUAGGAUUACAUCAAGGCUCAUCCUUAAGUCCUUACCUUUUUGCGUUGGUAAUGGAUGAGUUAACAGGACAUAUUCAAGAUGAUAUUCCUUGGUGUAUGCUUUUCGCAGACGAUAUAGUGUUGAUAGAUGAAACUCAGGAAGGGGUAAAUGCAAAGCUUAACCUUUGGAGAGAAGUGUUGGAAUCUAAAGGUCUUCGCCUAAGCCGAUCAAAGACAGAAUAUAUGGAGUGCAAGUUCAGUGCAAAUGGAGGCCAAAACGAGUUAGGGGUGAGGAUCGGAGAUCAAGAAAUACCAAAGAGCGACCGUUUUCGUUACCUAGGAUCUAUCUUGCAAAAGAACGGAGAAUUAGAUGGAGAUCUCAACCAUAGAAUACAAGCUGGAUGGAUGAAGUGGAAGAGUGCAUCCGGCGUGUUGUGUGUGACCGCCGUAUGCCACUGAAGCUCAAGGGAAAAUUUUAUAGGACGGCAAUAAGGCCGGCGAUGCUGUAUGGCACAGAAUGUUGGGCGGUGAAGCAUCAACACGUACACAAAAUGGGUGUAGCGGAGAUGAGGAUGCUUCGUUGGAUGUGUGGGCACACGAGAAAGGAUAAGAUUAGGAAUGAGGAUAUCCGGGGUAAAGUAGGAGUAGCCGAAAUUGAAGGAAAGAUGAGAGAAAAUCGGUUACGGUGGUUUGGACAUGUGCAAAGAAGGCCUACUGACGCUCCGAUUAGAAGAUGCGACUAUGGGACAGAGGUUCAGGGCCGAAGGGGUAGAGGAAGACCUAGGAAAACUUUGGAAGAGACCCUAAGAAAAGACUUAGAGUACUUGGAUCUAACGGAGGACAUGACACAGGACAGAACACAAUGGCGUUCUAAGAUUCAUAUAGCCGAUCCCACUCAGUGACUUGGAUUUUCCAAGUCUCCAACCGAGAAGUUUUCCUCACUCGGGAAAUUAAGGGAACACUACCUCAACCUACAUGCUCCACUCACAAAGCUUCAACAUACAAGCUUCAACAAAAGAAAAUUCAAAAGAACUUAGCGAAGAAGGCUUUGGUGUAUUUAACACAAUACGUUGAAAUGAAGGAAAGCUUAUUUAUUGAUAUCCCCGAUAAGUUACAAAUAUGUACAUAUACUUGAGUCAAAAUAAACAAACAAGAGGGAGCCUUCACAAAGGUUGCUUAGGAGAAGUCUCAGCAGUCGGUAGAGCCCCAGAAAGAGAAGGCACCGGAGGGGGAUCAUUCGGAGCCUCAGUACUGGACAGAACCCUAGAAGGAGGAGGCAUCAGAGGUUGAUCAUUUGGAGCUUCAUUACGCGGUACAGCCCCAGAAGACGAAGGCAAUAAAUGCCUUUGGAACAAACCCACAAAUCUCUGAUGAUCAAGUAAAACCUGACCAUCAGAUUCCUUCAUCUGGUCAAGCUUCCUCUUCAUGUUUGUAGCAUAGUCAUGUGCGAGCCGGUGCAACUGUUUAUUCUCAUGCUUGAGCCCUCUAAUCUCCUGUUUGAGACUCAUCACUUCAGCCGCCAAUGAUUCAACUUGGCGGGUUCGAGCAAAUAGGCGUUGGGCCAUAUUAGACACAGAACCUGCACACUGAACACUGAGAGCCAGAGAAUCCUUAACAGCCAACUCAUCAGACCGUUUGGAAAGUAGUCUGUUAUCUUUGGGAGUGAGAAGGUUCCUGGCCACUACCGCAGCGGUCAUAUCAUUCUUCAUCACGGAAUCCCCAACGGUAAGAGGACCAGUAGGGGAGACGAAGGAUGGGCGCCAUAUGUUGUCUGGAGAAGGCGGGGCUGCCUCUUCAACAAGGUUCAAGUCAAAACGACGGUCGGAGGGGCCAGACAUUUUCAAAGGUGUUGAAGAGAGAAGAGGUCGGACAAAUCAAGAUCUUAGAAGUGCAAGAAUGGAGCUUCUACUGGUGGAUAUUCAAGUGUGCUUUGGAACUUAAUGUCAGCCCCUAUAAAAAUCUGCACUCGACGAAGCUUCAGAAAUCGAAGAGGCGCCUGCUCAGAAAUCGAAGAGGCGUUUGCUUUCUCAAAAGCUGGGCUGCUCAGAGACCACGAGGGUCGAUCUCAGAAAUCGAAGAGGCGUUUGCUUUCUCAAAAGCUGGGCUGCUCAAAGACCACGAAGGCCGAUCUCAGAAAUCGAAGAGGCUUGCUUUCUCAAAAGCUGGGCUGCUCAGAGACCACGAGGGCCGAUCUCAGAAAUCGAAGAGGCACCUACUUUUCCAGCCUUGUCAGCACCUGUCACACGCACACUCAGCUUUGCGGAAAAUUAUGGGCAUUCUGUCGAAGAUUUCUGGCGAAGUAGAAAGCACAUGAAUCGUACUGUUCAAUCACCCACUUCCCACACGCAACAGUAGCUCAUGGGUACCACAGAUAACUUUGCCAAAGUUCUCUGACAAAGUUGAGACACGUGAAGCUUGCAGCUCCCACUACAUCGCUCUGACCAAGAAGGGUAAAAGAAUUAGCAAAGAAACAACACUAACAAAGUUUAGACACAUAAAUUUUGAAGGUCUAGCUACCAUAUUAUUACCCACAAGGGUAAAGGAACAGUACCACUGCUGGAUAAUUGGAAAGUCCCGGUGUGUCAACCUCUGUGCUUCGUGGCAAGGUAGACUAGCAAACAUGCCCAACCUUUACUCACAUUCGAGAAAACACUCCCAACAAGAUUGCUUGCUCCAAAAUCGAAGAGGCACCGCCCUCCGAAUCUCGAGAGCCAGACUCCCAACAUGAUUACUUUCUCAAAAAUCGAAGAGAGGGUAAAGGAACAGUACCACUGCUGGAUAAUUGGAAAGUCCCUGUGUGUCAACCUCUGUGCUUCGUGGCAAGGUAGACUAGCAAACAUGCCCAACCUUUACUCACAUUCGAGAAAACACUCCCAACAAGAUUGCUUGCUCCAAAAUCGAAGAGGCACCGCCCUCCGAAUCUCGAGAGCCAGACUCCCAACAUGAUUACUUUCUCAAAAAUCGAAGAGAGGGUAAAGGAACAGUACCACUGCUGGAUAAUUGGAAAGUCCCUGUGUGUCAACCUCUGUGCUUCGUGGCAAGGUAGACUAGCAAACAUGCCCAACCUUUACUCACAUUCGAGAAAACACUCCCAACAAGAUUGCUUGCUCCAAAAUCGAAGAGGCACCGCCCUCCGAAUCUCGAGAGCCAGACUCCCAACAUGAUUACUUUCUCAAAAAUCGAAGAGACACCGCUCUCCGAAUCUCGAGAGCCAGACCCCCAGCAGGAUUGCUUUCUCAAAAAUCGAAGAGGCAUCGUUCUCCGAAUCUCGAGAGCCAGAUCCCCGACAGGAUUGCUUGUUCGAAAACCGAAGAGGCACCACUUUCCCAACUUCAAGAGCUGGAUCUCCUUGGAUAAAGCUUGUCUGUAAUCUUCACACGCAACAUCAGCUUUCCAGAUACCACAGACCACUUUUUCAAAGUGCUCUGACAGAGUUAAAACAUGUGAAGCUGGCAGCUCCCACUACCGUGCUAUGACCAAGCAGGGUAAAGGAAUAGCAUUAUUACUUGAUGUUAGGGAGACUCCUAUAUAUGUCGACCUCCAUCCCCUAACGGACAGGCAGACCUGCAAAAAUGCUCAACCCUUUCCUCUUAUCUGAGAGGGCACUCCCAACGAAGCCUUUCGAAAUAUUCAGCUUUCUUUCCCCCCCCCGAUAAUACCUCUGUAAACAAGCUAUACUAGAGCAAGAAUAUCUCAUAUCAUCAGGGUUAAAAGCAAGAGUAUCCCAUAUCAUGCUUUUUUCCCUGUCUUUUCCUUUGGCCUUGUUCUUACCUGCAAGACAAGGAGAAAGAGAGCAAUCAGUCAGCACUUGGAAUCAAGCUUCCAGCCAGGAACUGACUGCCUGGAACCCCUUACCUGAUUACUUACCUGGCAUUGCUCUCGAGUACUCAUCUUCAACAUCUUAUGCUUCCAGGGAAGAUACCGCAUCUGCCUGAGGAACAGAUAGGGCAAGUGAGAAGGAUACAAGGAAGCAUGUGGAGACAAGCGUAACAGCACACGUGCCGAUACAUCCACUACUCUGUCAAAAGCAAAAGUAUCCCAUAUCAGCAGGGUCGAACGUACUCUAGAUUUGAUGGACUUGUUUUGACCCUCAAAUUCUUCAGUCGGCCUUAUACUCUGGAGGAAACCAGAAAACCCUCCAGCCCAGUUCAAGAAUAAGCCUGUGGAAAGUUACUUCUUCAAAAGCAAAAGUAUCCCAUAUCAUCUCUUCUCAUUUUUCUUCUCUUUAUCCUUCAUGCUGCCUGCAAGAUAGGGAGAAUGUGAACAAUCAGCCGGAGCUCUGAUUGCUUACCUUGUCUGUCACCUCUUUCAGCAGAUCCCCUAGCUCGGCG